Microcebus murinus (gray mouse lemur) is the source of this 757-nucleotide non-coding RNA. The record is from RefSeq and is a predicted model, not a curated record. Lineage: Eukaryota; Metazoa; Chordata; Mammalia; Primates; Cheirogaleidae.
CAUCAUCUGCUUCUUUAAUCUAGAUCUCCCCAAGACUGGGGGGGGGGACAAAGAAUGCAAAUGUCUUCUGCAAUCAGAUCAGCUCUCUCUUGUAGCUGCGGCCGGGGAGCUCACUCAGGGACUUCUGCCCAGAGACACAGAGGGACCCUGUGCCUCCAGUGUGAGAAAGAGCCACCUCCCCAGCUGCCCUCCCUGGCUUGGUGCUCCUGCCCAAGGGAAGGGACCAGCGCUGUCAACACCUCCUAAGCAUCAGCUACCGCCUGGGGCAGUUCCCGUGUGGUGUGUCACUACAACUCUCAAGUCAGGAAGUACACCACUGUCAUGCCAUUUUACAGAUUGGAGAACUGAGCCUGGAGCAGAGGCCUUAGGGCUUGAGGUGAGGACCUUGGCAUGCCACCGAAGGUCACAAGGCCCAGAUGUCCUCAGGGCCUGAGGCUUCCCUAGAGCUUGAAUACAAGCCAGGCAUGACCCAGCCAGGGUUCUCCAGGCCCAGGCAGGGCCCCUCCCUCUCUCUGUCCUGCGCUCACAGGCCCUGGAGCCCAUCUACUGCAGGGACACCUGAGCUUGCUUUUCUUUUGUACAAACUGAACUCUUUAAUCCAUGUGGAAUUUAUUUUUUGCCAGGGGUGAUAGAUACGCUUCUAAUUUUAUUUUAUGAUUUGAAUAGUCACUUGAGUCAACAUCAUUGAAGAAUAACUUAUUUCUUCUCCAACCUGAUUGGAAAUACCAAAAUAAACACAUUCUCAAUUAUUAACUAA